This 496-nucleotide ribosomal RNA is filed under the name uncultured bacterium. RNAcentral describes it as "partial 16S ribosomal RNA". It matches the Rfam family "Bacterial small subunit ribosomal RNA", at positions 28 to 506 of the family's 1533-position model. The record is from RNAcentral.
GAUGAACGCUGGCGGCGUGCCUAAUACAUGCAAGUCGAGCGAACGGACGAGAAGCUUGCUUCUCUGAUGUUAGCGGCGGACGGGUGAGUAACACGUGGAUAACCUACCUAUAAGACUGGGAUAACUUCGGGAAACCGGAGCUAAUACCGGAUGAUAUUUUGAACCGCAUGGUUCAAAAGUGAAAGACGGUCUUACUGUCACUUAUAGAUGGAUCCGCGCUGCAUUAGCUAGUUGGUAAGGUAACGGCUUACCAAGGCAACGAUGCAUAGCCGACCUGAGAGGUUGAUCGGCAACACUGGAACGAGGAAACGGUCCGGACUCCUACGGGAGGCAGCAGUAGGGAAUCUUCCGCAAUGGGCGAAAGCCUGACGAGGCAACGCCGCGUGAGUGAUGAAGGUCUUCGGAUCGUAAAACUCUGUUAUUAGGGAAGAACAUAUGUGUAAGUAACUGUGCACAUCUUGACGGUACCUAAUCAGAAAGCCACGGCUAACUACGU